GACGAACCGUGCGAACGUUGUUCGGAAUCACUGGGCUUAAAGGGCGCGUAGGCGGGUCGAAAAGUCCGUGGUGAAAUCCCCCCGCUCAACGGGGGAACGGCCGCGGAUACUGUCGGCCUCGAGGGGGGUAGGGGCGAGCGGAACGCUGGGUGGAGCGGUGAAAUGCGUUGAUAUCCAGCGGAACUCCGGUGGCGAAGGCGGCUCGCUGGACCCCGUCUGACGCUGAGGCGCGAAAGCCAGGGGAGCGAACGGG
RNAcentral lists this ribosomal RNA (253 nucleotides) under uncultured bacterium. RNAcentral describes it as "partial 16S ribosomal RNA". It matches the Rfam family "Bacterial small subunit ribosomal RNA", at positions 524 to 776 of the family's 1533-position model. The record is from RNAcentral.